This 66-nucleotide transfer RNA is filed under the name Rhynchothorax sp. JZ-2022. RNAcentral's name for it is "tRNA-Ile". Lineage: Eukaryota; Metazoa; Arthropoda; Pycnogonida; Pantopoda; Tanystylidae. The record is from RNAcentral.
AAUAGAUUGCCUGAUUAAAGGAUUAUUUUGAUAGAAUAAAUUAUAUAGCAUUUACUAUAUCUGUUA